Molecule: ribosomal RNA, 253 nt
Filed under: uncultured bacterium
Lineage: Bacteria
Description: partial 16S ribosomal RNA
Rfam family: Bacterial small subunit ribosomal RNA
Source: RNAcentral
GACAGAGGGUGCAAACGUUGUUCGGAAUUACUGGGCGUAAAGCGCGUGUAGGCGGCAGCGUGUGUCGGGCGUGAAAUCCCACGGCUCAACCGUGGAAGUGCACCCGAAACUGCGCAGCUAGAGUCCUGGAGAGGAAGGCGGAAUACUUGGUGUAGAGGUGAAAUUUGUAGAUAUCAAGUGGAACACCGGUGGCGAAGGCGGCCUUCUGGACAGUGACUGACGCUGAGACGCGAAAGCGUGGGGAGCAAACAGG